RNAcentral lists this ribosomal RNA (253 nucleotides) under uncultured bacterium. Its description in RNAcentral is "partial 16S ribosomal RNA". It matches the Rfam family "Bacterial small subunit ribosomal RNA", at positions 524 to 776 of the family's 1533-position model. The record is from RNAcentral.
GACGAACCGUCCUAACGUUGUUCGGAAUCACUGGGCUUAAAGGGCGCGUAGGCGGCCUGCCAAGUCAGGGGUGAAAUCCUGCAGCUUAACUGUAGAAGGGCCUUUGAUACUGGCGAGCUCGAGGGAGGUAGGGGUAUGUGGAACUUCCGGUGGAGCGGUGAAAUGCGUUGAUAUCGGAAGGAACGCCGGUGGCGAAAGCGACGUACUGGACCUCUUCUGACGCUGAGGCGCGAAAGCUAGGGGAGCAAACGGG